GAUGAACGCUAGCGGCAGGCAUAAUACAUGCAAGUUGAACGGGAUUCAGAUAGCAAUAUUUGAUGAGAGUGGCGCACGGGUGCGUAACACGUAUGCAACUUACCUUAAACUGGGAGAUAGCCCGUGGAAACAUGGAUUAAUAUCCCAUAGUAUAAAGAACAGGCAUUUGUUUUUUAUUAAAGCUCCGGCGGUUUAAGAUGGGCAUGCGCGUCAUUAGCUAGAUGGAGAGGUAACGGCUCACCAUGGCAACGAUGACUAGGGGGACUGAGAGGAUGUCCCCCCACACUGGUACUGAGACACGGACCAGACUCCUACGGGAGGCAGCAGUAGGGAAUAUUGGGCAAUGGACGCAAGUCUGACCCAGCCAUGCCGCGUGUAGGAAGACGGCCCUCUGGGUUGUAAACUGCUUUUAUCAGGGAAGAAACCCUUCUACGUGUAGGAGGCUGACGGUACCUGAGGAAUAGGAUCGGCUAACUCCGUGCCAGCAGCCG
This 491-nucleotide ribosomal RNA is filed under the name uncultured bacterium. RNAcentral describes it as "bacterial SSU rRNA". It matches the Rfam family "Bacterial small subunit ribosomal RNA", at positions 28 to 517 of the family's 1533-position model. The record is from RNAcentral.